AGUGAACGCUGGCGGUAGGCCUAACACAUGCAAGUCGAACGGCAGCACAGUAAGAGCUUGCUCUUACGGGUGGCGAGUGGCAGACGGGUGAGGAAUACAUCGGAAUCUACUUUUUCGUGGGGGAUAACGUAGGGAAACUUACGCUAAUACCGCAUACGACCUACGGGUGAAAGCAGUGGAUCUUCGGACCUUGCGCGAUUGAAUGAGCCGCUGUCGGAUUAGCUAGUUGGCGGGGUAAAUGCCCACCAAGGCGACGAUCCGUAGCUGGUCUGAGAGGAUGAUCACCCACACUGGAGCUGGGACACGGUCCUGACUCCUACGGGAGGCAGCAGUGGGGAAUAUUAGACAAUGGGCGCAAGCAUGAUCCAGCCAUACCGCGUGGGUGAAGAAGGCCUUCGGGUUGUAAAGCCCUUUUGUUGGGAAAGAAAAGCAGCAGGUUAAUACCCCGCUGUUCUGACGGUACCCAAAGAAUAAGCACCGGCUAACUUCGUG
RNAcentral lists this ribosomal RNA (492 nucleotides) under uncultured bacterium. RNAcentral's name for it is "partial 16S ribosomal RNA". It matches the Rfam family "Bacterial small subunit ribosomal RNA", at positions 29 to 507 of the family's 1533-position model. The record is from RNAcentral.